This 745-nucleotide ribosomal RNA is filed under the name uncultured bacterium. Its description in RNAcentral is "bacterial SSU rRNA". It matches the Rfam family "Bacterial small subunit ribosomal RNA", at positions 8 to 776 of the family's 1533-position model. The record is from RNAcentral.
AGAGUUUGAUCCUGGCUCAGGACGAACGCUGGCGGCGUGCUUAACACAUGCAAGUCGAGCGAGGAGCUUGCUCCUAGCGGCGAACGGGUGAGUAACACGUGGGCAACCUGCCCCUAGCUCUGGGAUAAGCCCGGGAAACUGGGUCUAAUACCGGAUACGACUUCCGAGGACAUCCUCUGGGAGUGGAAAGAACUUCGGCUAGGGAUGGGCCCGCGGCCUAUCAGCUUGUUGGUGGGGUAACGGCCCACCAAGGCGACGACGGGUAGCCGGCCUGAGAGGGCGACCGGCCACACUGGGACUGAGACACGGCCCAGACUCCUACGGGAGGCAGCAGUGGGGAAUAUUGCGCAAUGGGCGAAAGCCUGACGCAGCGACGCCGCGUGAGGGAUGAAGGCCUUCGGGUUGUAAACCUCUUUCAGCAGGGGCGAAGCGAAAGUGACGGUACCCGCAGAAGAAGCACCGGCCAACUACGUGCCAGCAGCCGCGGUAAUACGUAGGGUGCAAGCGUUGUCCGGAAUUAUUGGGCGUAGAGAGCUCGUAGGCGGUCUGUCGCGUCGGCUGUGAAAACCUGGGGCUCAACUCCCGGGCCUGCAGCCGAUACGGGCAGACUAGAGUUCGGUAGGGGAGACUGGAAUGCCUGGUGUAUCGGUGAAAUGCGCAGAUAUCAGGAGGAACACCGGUGGCGAAGGCUGGUUUCUGGGGCCGAUACUGACGCUGAGGACCNAAAGCGUGAGGAGCAACCAUG